GAGUAGAAGCACUUUCUCGCACUAAUGUUCAAGACCACGACUACCCAAGUCAGCUGCAACUUUGGCUGCUCGAUUCAGGGCAUCAGACAUGAAAAGAGCUCCCCUAGAGAAGUAGCUACUCCUCACCACGGUAUCAGCAGCGGCAGCAGCUGUUCUUCCUGUGGCUGAUAUAGCUGAUUUGGUGGUCUGCAAUACAUGGUACUUCUCAUCCACGGUUUUAACCGCUUCAAAACCCG
RNAcentral lists this unclassified non-coding RNA (236 nucleotides) under Hevea brasiliensis (rubber tree). The record is from RNAcentral. Lineage: Eukaryota; Viridiplantae; Streptophyta; Magnoliopsida; Malpighiales; Euphorbiaceae.